This is a non-coding RNA of Benincasa hispida (wax gourd), 161 nucleotides long. The record is from RefSeq and is a predicted model, not a curated record. NCBI's taxonomy places the organism in Eukaryota, Viridiplantae, Streptophyta, Magnoliopsida, Cucurbitales, Cucurbitaceae.
AAACCCCAUAGCAAAGGUUGGUGAUCAAGAAGUUCCAUGGCUUAGGUUGGUGACCUCCAUUGAACUUUGGAGUGGUGCUUGCCUAAGGUCUGUCUAUUGUGGCAGAUCAUAUGUCAUAAAUAAUUUGUGGCAGUGGGGGAAUGGACUUGUGCGACCCCUUC